UAAUAUUGCAACCAAAUGCAAAAAUUGGGCUAAAUAUAAGUAUGGAACACUCACUCGGGCAUCCAUUUUGGAUUAAAUGUCGAAUUUUCUCACUAGAUAGCGUUUCGGUUCAUUUCCGCUUUCGGUUUAUGGAAUCAUAUAAGCCGAACCCGAAACUGAAAUGCAACUGAAAUUCGUUAUAAAUGUAAUUUCUGUUUCUGCCAUUCUGCUCUAUAUUGUACGCCUGUGGAGUCUAGGCUUAACGUUGAAAUUUACAACUCGUUCUAAAUUAUCAAUUUCGCGCCGGUUACAGUGCGUUAUGGAUGACGUCGGAGUAUAUACCUAUGAAUUGUUUCUAACGUCGUCGCCGACGAGCGUCUCUGCCACGUCGGACUAUAAACAAGCCUUAGACUAGGUUCACACACACUUCGCUUUCGAAUGCGGAAAGCGAAAACGCCAACAUUUUUCGCCUAGGAAAUUUCAUUCACACACGAAUGCGAAACAGCCGGAGCGAAAUAAUUAGCCAAUCACAUGAGAACAGAGUCAAAACAAUUCAGUAGGUUGUCUUUGUAGCGUGCAUAUUUUUUAUCAAACAAAAAU
This 579-nucleotide long non-coding RNA is filed under the name Androctonus crassicauda. The record is from RNAcentral. Lineage: Eukaryota; Metazoa; Arthropoda; Arachnida; Scorpiones; Buthidae.